This 484-nucleotide ribosomal RNA is filed under the name Neopestalotiopsis sp. Its description in RNAcentral is "eukaryotic LSU rRNA". The stretch from base 149 to 302 matches the Rfam family "5.8S ribosomal RNA". The record is from RNAcentral. Lineage: Eukaryota; Fungi; Ascomycota; Sordariomycetes; Amphisphaeriales; Sporocadaceae.
CAUUAUAGAGUUUUCUAAACUCCCAACCCAUGUGAACUUACCUUUUGUUGCCUUGGCAGAAGUUAUAGGUCUUCUUAUAGCUGCUGCCGGUGGACCAUUAAACUCUUGUUAUUUUAUGUAAUCUGAGCGUCUUAUUUUAAUAAGUCAAAACUUUCAACAACGGAUCUCUUGGUUCUGGCAUCGAUGAAGAACGCAGCGAAAUGCGAUAAGUAAUGUGAAUUGCAGAAUUCAGUGAAUCAUCGAAUCUUUGAACGCACAUUGCGCCCAUUAGUAUUCUAGUGGGCAUGCCUGUUCGAGCGUCAUUUCAACCCUUAAGCCUAGCUUAGUGUUGGGAAUCUACUUCUCUUAGGAGUUGUAGUUCCUGAAAUACAACGGCGGAUUUGUAGUAUCCUCUGAGCGUAGUAAUUUUUUUCUCGCUUUUGUUAGGUGCUAUAACUCCCAGCCGCUAAACCCCCAAUUUUUUGUGGUUGACCUCGGAUCAGGU